GGGAAACGCAGCCCCGCGACGCCGGCAGGGACCGAUGCCGCCAGGCGUCUCAGCGGGCGAUGCUGGACGAGUUGCCGUCGCGGCCGGUGGCUCUGCUGCGACGCAGAGAUAAGCUCGGCUGUGUCCGUGGCCCCGGCCCCUGUGGGAUCAAGGGACGGAGCCGAUGGGAAGCGAUGGGAGCAGCGCCGACUGCAGAGCCAGGAAGCCGGAGCACAGCCCGGAGCUUAUUUAAGCACCAGAGCUGCUAUUUAAGGGGGAACGAGACUCCCACGUCUUUUAAAUCCCCGGUGUCCCUGCCCUCCGCGC
This 306-nucleotide long non-coding RNA is filed under the name Apteryx owenii (little spotted kiwi). Its description in RNAcentral is "lncRNA (ENSAOWG00000006021.1)". The record is from RNAcentral. Lineage: Eukaryota; Metazoa; Chordata; Aves; Apterygiformes; Apterygidae.